UACGGAGGAUGCGAGCGUUAUCCGGAUUUAUUGGGUUUAAAGGGUGCGCAGGCGGCACGGCAAGCCAGCGGUCAAAUCGUGGGGCUCAACCCCAUCCAGCCGUUGAAACUGGGGAUCUAGAGUGUGCGAGAGGUAUGCGGAAUGCGUGGUGUAGCGGUGAAAUGCAUAGACAUCACGCAGAACCCCGAUUGCGAAGGCAGCAUACCGGUGCACAACUGACGCUCAGGCACGAAAGCGUGGGUAUCGAACAGG
This 252-nucleotide ribosomal RNA is filed under the name uncultured bacterium. RNAcentral describes it as "partial 16S ribosomal RNA". It matches the Rfam family "Bacterial small subunit ribosomal RNA", at positions 524 to 776 of the family's 1533-position model. The record is from RNAcentral.